This 433-nucleotide ribosomal RNA is filed under the name uncultured bacterium. Its description in RNAcentral is "partial 16S ribosomal RNA". It matches the Rfam family "Bacterial small subunit ribosomal RNA", at positions 29 to 507 of the family's 1533-position model. The record is from RNAcentral.
AACGAACGCUGGCGGCAUGCCUAACACAUGCAAGUCGAACGAGACCUUCGGGUCUAGUGGCGCACGGGUGCGUAACGCGUGGGAACCUGCCCUUAGGUUCGGAAUAACUCCCCGAAAGGGGUGCUAAUACCGGAUAAUGUCUUCGGACCAAAGAUUUAUCGCCUUUGGAUGGGCCCGCGUUGGAUUAGCUAGUUGGUAGGGUAAAAGCCUACCAAGGCGACGAUCCAUAGCUGGUCUGAGAGGAUGAUCAGCCACACUGGGACUGAGACACGGCCCAGACUCCUACGGGAGGAAGCAGUGGGGAAUAUUGGACAAUGGGCGAAAGCCUGAUCCAGCAAUGCCGCGUGAGUGAUGAAGGCCUUAGGGUUGUAAAGCUCUUUUACCCGGGAGGAUAAUGACAGUAACGGGAGAAUAAGCUCCGGCUAACUCCGUG